UGACAGUUGUAAAACAAUAAGUGAGUGGUGAUAGCCCUGUGAAAGCUUGCAAUGCUUGACUGCUACCUGUCAGUCAGGAAUCAGUUUGGAGUGGGCAAAUCUACUGUGGGAGCUGCUGUGAUCCAAGUAGCCAA
Non-coding RNA from Chelonoidis abingdonii (Abingdon island giant tortoise), 134 nucleotides. The record is from RefSeq and is a predicted model, not a curated record. Lineage: Eukaryota; Metazoa; Chordata; Testudines; Testudinidae.